Molecule: non-coding RNA, 324 nt
Organism: Vicia faba (fava bean)
Lineage: Eukaryota; Viridiplantae; Streptophyta; Magnoliopsida; Fabales; Fabaceae
Source: the annotation of a GenBank genome assembly
AUGAAUAUGCCAAAGCACAGAUUUAUCACUUGGCUAGCCAUCCAAGAUAGAUUAAAAACCAGGCAGAGGCUUAAGAAGAUGGGCAUUGUUUAUAAUAGUUGUUGUCUCAUCUGUGGUGUACAGGAUGAAACUAAUCUCCAUCUACUUUUUGAUUAUCACUACAUCAGGUACUGCUGGAAUCAGAUUAAAGAUUGGCUUAACUGGAAUAUUUCGGCAACGAAUUUGCAGGACAUUAUAAGAGGCAAAGCUAGUAAGUUCAAGAACCAAGUCCUCUCGACUGCUGGAAAAUCAGGAAUGUUGUUUUAUGGAGUAGCAAGCUGCUGA